GCUCUGAUGGCGGAAUUGGUAGACGCACAGGACUUAAAAUCCUGUGAGAAGUAAUUCUCGUGCGAGUUCGAGUCUCGCUCGGAGCA
Molecule: transfer RNA, 86 nt
Filed under: Ignavibacteria bacterium GWF2_33_9
Lineage: Bacteria; Pseudomonadati; Ignavibacteriota; Ignavibacteria
Description: tRNA-Leu
Rfam family: tRNA
About the family: Transfer RNA (tRNA) molecules are approximately 80 nucleotides in length. Their secondary structure includes four short double-helical elements and three loops (D, anti-codon, and T loops).
Source: RNAcentral